This is a long non-coding RNA of Sapajus apella (tufted capuchin), 170 nucleotides long. RefSeq lists it as uncharacterized. The transcript has 4 exons. NCBI's taxonomy places the organism in Eukaryota, Metazoa, Chordata, Mammalia, Primates, Cebidae. The record is from RefSeq and is a predicted model, not a curated record.
CAUCCUUCCAGCCCUUGGAUAAAUCCCACUGAUCAGGGUAAAUGAUUAUUUUAGUGUGCUAUUGAGUUCAGUUUGCUAGUAUUUUGUUGAAGACUUUUGCAUCUAAGUUCAUCAGGAAUAUCGACCUGUAAUUUUCUUUCCUUGUUGAGUCACUGCUAGGUUUUGGUAUA